This 566-nucleotide ribosomal RNA is filed under the name Dothidea sp. KS-2014. Its description in RNAcentral is "eukaryotic LSU rRNA". The stretch from base 228 to 381 matches the Rfam family "5.8S ribosomal RNA". The record is from RNAcentral. Lineage: Eukaryota; Fungi; Ascomycota; Dothideomycetes; Dothideales; Dothideaceae.
GUGAACCUGCGGAAGGAUCAUUAAAAGAUGUGAAUGCGGACCCGGGGCUCGCCCCGUCGGUCCGCAUACCUUCCAACCCUCUGUUGUUAUAACUACCUUGUYGCUUUGGCGGGACCGUUCGGUCCUCCGAGCGCACCAGUCCUCUCGGACAGGUGAGCGCCCGCCGGAGUCCAACCAAACUCUUGUUUUUAACCAGUCGUCUGAGUAUAAAAUUUUAAUUAAAUUAAAACUUUCAACAACGGAUCUCUUGGUUCUCGCAUCGAUGAAGAACGCAGCGAAAUGCGAUAAGUAAUGUGAAUUGCAGAAUUCAGUGAAUCAUCGAAUCUUUGAACGCACAUUGCGCCCCUUGGUAUUCCGAGGGGCAUGCCUGUUCGAGCGUCAUUACACCACUCAAGCACCGCUUGGUAUUGGGCACCGUCCGUCGAAAGGCGGGCGUGCCUCGAAGACCUCGGCGGGGUUUCUCCAACUUCGGGCGUAGUAGAGUUAAAUCGAACGUCUUAUAAGCUUGGUGGGACUCCAUUGCCGUUAAACCUUUUAUUUUCUAGGUUGACCUCGGAUCAGGUAGG